CCUUGAGCUCACUUUGUAGCCCAGGCUGGUCUGAAACUCACAGGGAUCCUCCUGCCUCAGCCUCCUGAGUGUUGGCAU
Molecule: microRNA precursor, 78 nt
Filed under: Chinchilla lanigera (long-tailed chinchilla)
Lineage: Eukaryota; Metazoa; Chordata; Mammalia; Rodentia; Chinchillidae
Description: miRNA (ENSCLAG00000020982.1)
Source: RNAcentral